GUGACUGAGAAACCAACAUACAAACUUUGAAAAAUACAAGGGGGGCACAAAGGUAUGGGCCCAGAGACUGCAGACAACAGGUCAGAAAACCACAGCAUUCUAAGAUUCUCUCUGACUGAAGGUGGGGAUAAAACAGAUUUUCAAGAAGAAAAUGAAGCAUACAGUUUGAAAAAUACAGAUCAAAUAACAUACUUUUUCACCUUUGGAAAACAACUUCAUGUUUUCACAAUACAAACUAUUGAAAGUAAGUAGAGUUCAAUAAACAUCUCUUGAUUGUUGGAGAAUGGUCAGAAGAAAUAUCUUCUGUAUAUUUGUGCUUCCUAGAAAGAGUCUGAUGAAGUCUCCUGGGACCUGCUAGAAAGCAGGAUCAAUUAAAUGUUUAGGUUUAGCAUAAACAGGCACAGGAGGUCUUUGUCUUCUGGGACCAGGGAGCCCCUCUCACUUUCGGGGCCAGUUGGGUGACCCGCAGCACCUGAACUCCUAGGUAGAAACCUAAAGAGAAAUCCAUGGCAGUGCCUGAGUAGAAUUUCCUCUUUCUAGAAUUGAGGGUGCAGAACAGCAGCAGGCAAAUGACAGAGGAGAGAGAAGGCAAAACAAAAAAUUCAGCAGCGCAAGAGAACUGGGCUUUCU
This 630-nucleotide long non-coding RNA is filed under the name Homo sapiens (human). Its description in RNAcentral is "HSALNT0040338". The record is from RNAcentral. Lineage: Eukaryota; Metazoa; Chordata; Mammalia; Primates; Hominidae.